AGAGCGAACGCUGGCGGCGUGUUUAACACAUGCAAGUCGAGUGCGCGUCCGUAGCAAUACGGAUGGCGCACGGCGCACGGGUGCGUAACACGUGGGCAAUCUGCCCUCGGAUGUGGGAUACCCCCGCGAAAGCGGGACUAAUACCGCAUGAUAUUCCCGAGACUCCGGUCUUGGGACUCAAAGGCCGCAAGGCCGUCUGAGGAGGAGCCCGCGCCCGAUUAGCUAGUUGGUGAGGUAACGGCUCACCAAGGCUUUGAUCGGUAGCCGGUCUGAGAGGAUGGCCGGCCACACUGGAACUGAGACACGGUCUAGACUCCUACGGGAGGCAGCAGUGGGGAAUAUUGCGCAAUGGGCGAAAGCCUGACGCAGCGACGCCGCGUGGGGAUGAAGCUUUUCGGAGUGUAAACCCCUUUCGACCCGGACGAAUGACCCGCAAGGGUUUGACGGUACGGGUAUAAGAAGCCCGGCUAACUACGUGCCAGCAGCCGCGGU
Molecule: ribosomal RNA, 492 nt
Filed under: uncultured bacterium
Lineage: Bacteria
Description: SSU rRNA
Rfam family: Bacterial small subunit ribosomal RNA
Source: RNAcentral